RNAcentral lists this ribosomal RNA (251 nucleotides) under uncultured bacterium. RNAcentral describes it as "partial 16S ribosomal RNA". It matches the Rfam family "Bacterial small subunit ribosomal RNA", at positions 524 to 776 of the family's 1533-position model. The record is from RNAcentral.
GACGUAGGGCGCGAGCGUUGUCCGGAAUUAUUGGGCGUAAAGAGCUCGUAGGCGGUCUGUUGCGUCCGCUGUGAAAACCCGGGGCUUAACCCCGGGCCUGCAGUGGAUACGGGCAGGCUGGAGGCAGGCAGGCGAGUGGAAUUCCUGGUGUAGCGGUGAAAUGCGCAGAUAUCGGGAGGAACACCAAUGGCGAAGGCAGCUCGCUGGGACGGUACUGACGCUGAGACGCGAAAGCGUGGGGAGCAAACAGG